CAGGGGGAUAACCCGGAGAAAUCCGGCCUAAUACCGCGUAACACCUUUUGAGAGCAUUCCCGGGAGGUUAAAGGAGAGAUCCGGCAUAGGAUGGACAUGCGUCGCAUUAGGUAGACGGCGGGGUAACGGCCCACCGUGCCGACGAUGCGUAGGGGUUCUGAGAGGAAGGCCCCCCACACUGGUACUGAGACACGGACCAGACUCCUACGGGAGGCAGCAGUGAGGAAUAUUGGUCAAUGGCCGAGAGGCUGAACCAGCCAAGUCGCGUGAGGGAAGAAUGUCCUAAGGAUUGUAAACCUCUUUUGUCGGGGAGCAAAAAGGCUCUGCGGAGUCGUAUUGAGAGUACCCGAAGAAAAAGCAUCGGCUAACUCCGUGCCAGCAGCCGCGGUAAUACGGAGGAUGCGAGCGUUAUCCGGAUUUAUUGGGUUUAAAGGGUGCGCAGGCGGCGUGUCAAGCAAGCGGUAAAAUAGCGGGGCUCAACCCCGUCGAGCCGUUUGAACUGGCGCGCUUGAGUUCAGGCGAGGUAGGCGGAAUUCGUGGUGUAGCGGUGAAAUGCAUAGAUAUCACGAAGAACUCCGAUUGCGAAGGCAGCUUACCAGUCUGCGACUGACGCUCAGGCACGAAAGUGUGGGUAUCGAACAGGAUUAGAUACCCUGGUAGUCCACACAGUAAACGAUGAGCACUGGGUGUCCGGGUCGCAUGAGACUGGGUGCCCGAG
Molecule: ribosomal RNA, 718 nt
Filed under: uncultured bacterium
Lineage: Bacteria
Description: bacterial SSU rRNA
Rfam family: Bacterial small subunit ribosomal RNA
Source: RNAcentral